This 253-nucleotide unclassified non-coding RNA is filed under the name uncultured Eubacteriales bacterium. RNAcentral's name for it is "contains 16S-23S intergenic spacer region". It matches the Rfam family "Bacterial small subunit ribosomal RNA", at positions 524 to 776 of the family's 1533-position model. The record is from RNAcentral. Lineage: Bacteria; Bacillati; Bacillota; Clostridia; Eubacteriales.
UACGUAGGGAGCGAGCGUUGUCCGGAAUUACUGGGUGUAAAGGGUGCGUAGGCGGGAUGGCAAGUCAGACGUGAAAUACCGGGGCUCAACUCCGGGGCUGCGUUUGAAACUGUCGUUCUUGAGUGAAGUAGAGGCAGGCGGAAUUCCUAGUGUAGCGGUGAAAUGCGUAGAUAUUAGGAGGAACACCAGUGGCGAAGGCGGCCUGCUGGGCUUUAACUGACGCUGAGGCACGAAAGCAUGGGGAGCAAACAGG